RNAcentral lists this ribosomal RNA (370 nucleotides) under Klebsiella pneumoniae. RNAcentral describes it as "bacterial SSU rRNA". It matches the Rfam family "Bacterial small subunit ribosomal RNA", at positions 80 to 453 of the family's 1533-position model. Lineage: Bacteria; Pseudomonadati; Pseudomonadota; Gammaproteobacteria; Enterobacterales; Enterobacteriaceae. The record is from RNAcentral.
GCUCUCGGGUGACGAGCGGCGGACGGGUGAGUAAUGUCUGGGAAACUGCCUGAUGGAGGGGGAUAACUACUGGAAACGGUAGCUAAUACCGCAUAACGUCGCAAGACCAAAGUGGGGGACCUUCGGGCCUCAUGCCAUCAGAUGUGCCCAGAUGGGAUUAGCUAGUAGGUGGGGUAAUGGCUCACCUAGGCGACGAUCCCUAGCUGGUCUGAGAGGAUGACCAGCCACACUGGAACUGAGACACGGUCCAGACUCCUACGGGAGGCAGCAGUGGGGAAUAUUGCACAAUGGGCGCAAGCCUGAUGCAGCCAUGCCGCGUGUGUGAAGAAGGCCUUCGGGUUGUAAAGCACUUUCAGCGGGGAGGAAGGCG